RNAcentral lists this ribosomal RNA (799 nucleotides) under actinobacterium CP122. RNAcentral describes it as "bacterial SSU rRNA". It matches the Rfam family "Bacterial small subunit ribosomal RNA", at positions 54 to 861 of the family's 1533-position model. The record is from RNAcentral. Lineage: Bacteria; Bacillati; Actinomycetota; Actinomycetes.
CAUGCAGUCGAACGCUGAAGCCGACAGCUUGCUGUUGGUGGAUGAGUGGCGAACGGGUGAGUAACACGUGAGUAACCUGCCCCUGAUUUCGGGAUAAGCCUGGGAAACUGGGUCUAAUACCGGAUACGACCAUCCCUCGCAUGAGGGUUGGUGGAAAGUUUUUCGAUCGGGGAUGGGCUCGCGGCCUAUCAGCUUGUUGGUGGGGUAAUGGCCUACCAAGGCGACGACGGGUAGCCGGCCUGAGAGGGCGACCGGCCACACUGGGACUGAGACACGGCCCAGACUCCUACGGGAGGCAGCAGUGGGGAAUAUUGCACAAUGGGGGAAACCCUGAUGCAGCGACGCAGCGUGCGGGAUGACGGCCUUCGGGUUGUAAACCGCUUUCAGCAGGGAAGAAGCCGUAAGGUGACGGUACCUGCAGAAGAAGUACCGGCUAACUACGUGCCAGCAGCCGCGGUAAUACGUAGGGUACGAGCGUUGUCCGGAAUUAUUGGGCGUAAAGAGCUCGUAGGUGGUUGGUCACGUCUGCUGUGGAAACGCAACGCUUAACGUUGCGCGUGCAGUGGGUACGGGCUGACUAGAGUGCAGUAGGGGAGUCUGGAAUUCCUGGUGUAGCGGUGAAAUGCGCAGAUAUCAGGAGGAACACCGGUGGCGAAGGCGGGACUCUGGGCUGUAACUGACACUGAGGAGCGAAAGCAUGGGGAGCGAACAGGAUUAGAUACCCUGGUAGUCCAUGCCGUAAACGUUGGGCACUAGGUGUGGGGGACAUUCCACGUUCUYCGCGCCGUAGCUAMGCAUU